GAUGAACGCUGGCGGCGUGCCUAAUACAUGCCAGUCGAGCGAACAGACGAGGAGCUUUCUCCUCUGACUUUAGCGGCGGACGUGUGAGUAACACGUGGAUAACCUACCUAUAAUACUGGGAUAACUUCGGGAAACCGGAGCUAAUACCGGAUAAUAUAUUGAACCGCAUGGUUCAAUAGUAAAAUACGAUUUUGCUGUCACUUAUAGGUGGAUCCGCGCCGCAUUAGCUAUUUGGUAUGGUAAGGGCUUACCAAGGCAACGAUCCAGAGACGACCGGAGAGGGGGAUAGGCUACACCGGAAAGGAGACACGGUCCAGACUACUAUGGUAGGCAGGAGUAGGGAAUGUUCCGUAAUGGGCGGAAGCCUGACGUAAAAAAGCCGCGUGAGUGAUGAAAGUAUUCGGCUCGUAAAACUCUGCUAUUUGGGAACAACAACUGUGGAAGGAACUAUGCACGUUUUGACUGUACCUAAUCAGAAAGCAACGGCUAACUACGUG
This 497-nucleotide ribosomal RNA is filed under the name uncultured bacterium. Its description in RNAcentral is "partial 16S ribosomal RNA". It matches the Rfam family "Bacterial small subunit ribosomal RNA", at positions 28 to 507 of the family's 1533-position model. The record is from RNAcentral.